Molecule: long non-coding RNA, 995 nt
Organism: Paramormyrops kingsleyae
Lineage: Eukaryota; Metazoa; Chordata; Actinopteri; Osteoglossiformes; Mormyridae
Source: RefSeq, a predicted model, not a curated record
CUGUAAAACUCCAAGUGACAUUCUGACUGUGACAGACACUCAUCACAUCGGUCUUUCAGGCACAAUGAAGCUUGUUCUUCUUCAAACACUUUGCUUUGCUACUCUAUGGGUCAGCGUGGCCCCCAGUCGCAGGGGUGCUGUAAUGCAUGGGCUUUCCCAGGCUGAAGCCCAGGGGCCACUGCUAAAAAGCAACCUCACCAAGGGGCUCCAGUUGGCAACUUUGAUGAUCGCCACCCCACCCCCCACGGAUGCUAACUUUUACCUUGGGGAGGUCUGUGAAAACUCCCGACCCUGCAUGCCUGCCAAGAACAAUAAUGCCUACAACAUCUUCCUGGCAAGGCAUAUCCUCAGUGACACCCCAAACACCAGUGACAAGCAAGAAUGGAGGACGUUCUUACAUAACCACAACCUGUGCGACCCAAACAGGACCACACAGUCAUUCCUCCAAUACAAGGAUGAAAGCAUGAUCAAAAAAGUGUGUACCCCUGAAGGAGGGAAUAUCCAUAAGAAAAACCUGUGCAUCAGUAAGAACAAUUUCUCCUUCAUAACAGUGACAAUCGACAACAAUUGUAACAUCUCUGAAAUCACCAAUGAGACCAAGCACAUCAUCCUGGCCUGUGACACAAUCAACAAAAUUUGCAGGCCUGUUCACUUUCACGGAAGCCAAAGAAAGGGGAAUCUUACAGCUUUGCCGUGUUCCAACCGCCGGCCUGCUUCAGGCGUGCCAUAAUGUCCACAUUCACAACAGCCUUGCUUAUAGCAUCCAGAAUAUUCCAUGUAAAGUUUUCAUUAGUAUAGACGCUUUGCACUACUAUUCAUAAAAUGCAUGUCUAAUAUGUUAAGAAUAACGUUCAAAUUGCAGAAAGUAAUGCAUCUAUGGAAUGCUACAGAUAAAUGAUUCGGGGUGUCGGACGGACCCUGCGCUCAGAAAAGCUCAUCUGAUGAAUCUGUUCUCCUACUUGUACAAGUGGAAAAUAAAGCUUCAUUUCAUUACA